RNAcentral lists this ribosomal RNA (314 nucleotides) under uncultured eukaryote. RNAcentral describes it as "partial 18S ribosomal RNA". It matches the Rfam family "Eukaryotic small subunit ribosomal RNA", at positions 1470 to 1796 of the family's 1831-position model. The record is from RNAcentral.
CCCUUAGAUGUUCUGGGCCGCACGCGUGCUACACUGAUAUUGCCAAUAUGUCAUUCUUAUCCGAAAUGGAUUGGGUAAUCAAGUAAUGAAAUUUCAUGCUUGGAAUCGGUAAUUGCAAUUUUAUCGUGAACGAGGAAUUCCUAGUAAGCGCGAGUCAUCAGCUCGUGCUGAUUACGUCCCUGCCCUUUGUACACACCGCCCGUCGCUGCAACUGAUUGGGUGACCUGGUGAACAUCUUGGACCGGCCCACUCAAUUUCGAGAGGACUGGAAAAGGCCGUAAAUCAGGUACAUCUAGAAAUUGCAAGUCGUAACA